UAGGGAAUCUUCCACAAUGGGCGAAAGACUGAUGGAGCAACGCCGCGUGAGUGAUGAAGGCCUUCGGGUUGUAAAACUCUGUCAUUCGGGACGAACCGGAGUCUGAGGAAAUGCAGACUCUCUGACGGUACCGGAGGAGGAAGCCCCGGCUAACUACGUGCCAGCAGCCGCGGUAAUACGUAGGGGGCAAGCGUUGUCCGGAUUCACUGGGCGUAAAGCGCGCGCAGGCGGUGAUGUAAGUCUGAGGUGAAAACCCGAAGCUCAACUUCGGGACUGCCUUGGAUACUGCGUCACUUGAGGAUAGGAGAGGCAAGGGGAAUUCCACGUGUAGCGGUGAAAUGCGUAGAGAUGUGGAGGAACACCUGUGGCGAAGGCGCCUUGCUGGCCUAUUUCUGACGCUGAGGCGCGAAAGCGUGGGGAGCAAACAGG
Molecule: ribosomal RNA, 429 nt
Filed under: Actinomycetes bacterium
Lineage: Bacteria; Bacillati; Actinomycetota; Actinomycetes
Description: Actinobacteria bacterium partial 16S ribosomal RNA
Rfam family: Bacterial small subunit ribosomal RNA
Source: RNAcentral